GAGGGGAAUCCACGAAGCCCUCAUUUGCCAGAUUUGGUGAAGGGGCUUUGUGGAGUUGAGUCAUUUUCCCUAUCACCCAGUACUGGAAUUGGGAUCCUCUCCACCUGAUUUGGAGUUCGUUUGCUCAUACUCGACGUAGGAGCAUCGGAUUUCGACGAAACUU
Long non-coding RNA from Ananas comosus (pineapple), 163 nucleotides. RefSeq lists it as uncharacterized. The transcript has 3 exons. The record is from RefSeq and is a predicted model, not a curated record. NCBI's taxonomy places the organism in Eukaryota, Viridiplantae, Streptophyta, Magnoliopsida, Poales, Bromeliaceae.